GACGAACGCUGGCGGCGUGCCUAAUACAUGCAAGUAGAACGCUGAAGGAGGAGCUUGCUUCUCUGGAUGAGUUGCGAACGGGUGAGUAACGCGUAGGUAACCUGCCUGGUGGCGGGGGAUAACUAUUGGAAACGAUAGCUAAUACCGCAUAAUAGUAGAUGUCGCAUGACAUUUGCUUAAAAGGUGCAAUUGCAUCACUACCAGAUGGACCUGCGUUGUAUUAGCUAGUUGGUGAGGUAACGGCUCACCAAGGCAACGAUACAUAGCCGACCUGAGAGGGUGAUCGGCCACACUGGGACUGAGACACGGCCCAGACUCCUACGGGAGGCAGCAGUAGGGAAUCUUCGGCAAUGGACGGAAGUCUGACCGAGCAACGCCGCGUGAGUGAAGAAGGUUUUCGGAUCGUAAAGCUCUGUUGUAAGAGAAGAACGAGUGUGAGAGUGGAAAGUUCACACUGUGACGGUAUCUUACCAGAAAGGGACGGCUAACUACGUG
This 495-nucleotide ribosomal RNA is filed under the name uncultured bacterium. Its description in RNAcentral is "partial 16S ribosomal RNA". It matches the Rfam family "Bacterial small subunit ribosomal RNA", at positions 28 to 507 of the family's 1533-position model. The record is from RNAcentral.